CACGUAGGGUGCAAGCGUUAAUCGGAAUUACUGGGCGUAAAGCGUGCGCAGGCGGUUCGUUGUGUCGGCGGUGAAAGCCCCGGGCUCAACCUGGGAAUGGCCGUUGAAACUGGCGAACUGGAGUGUGGCAGAGGGGGGUGGAAUUCCGCGUGUAGCAGUGAAAUGCGUAGAGAUGCGGAGGAACACCGAUGGCGAAGGCAGCCCCCUGGGCUGACACUGACGCUCAGGCACGAAAGCGUGGGGAGCAAACAGG
Molecule: ribosomal RNA, 253 nt
Filed under: uncultured bacterium
Lineage: Bacteria
Description: partial 16S ribosomal RNA
Rfam family: Bacterial small subunit ribosomal RNA
Source: RNAcentral